Molecule: small nuclear RNA, 109 nt
Filed under: Propithecus coquereli (Coquerel's sifaka)
Lineage: Eukaryota; Metazoa; Chordata; Mammalia; Primates; Indriidae
Source: RNAcentral
UUGCCCUCACUUCAGCUGCACAGAUACUAAAAUUGGAACGAUACAGAGAAGAUUAACGUGGCCCCUGCACAAGGAUGACAUGCAAAUUCGUGAAGCGUUCCACAUUUUU